RNAcentral lists this ribosomal RNA (468 nucleotides) under uncultured bacterium. Its description in RNAcentral is "partial 16S ribosomal RNA". It matches the Rfam family "Bacterial small subunit ribosomal RNA", at positions 28 to 507 of the family's 1533-position model. The record is from RNAcentral.
GACGAACGCUGGCGGCGUGCUUAACACAUGCAAGUCGAACGGCAAGGCCCUGCUUUUGUGGGGUGCUCGAGUGGCGAACGGGUGAGUAACACGUGAGUAACCUGACCUUGACUUUGGGAUAACUUCAGGAAACUGGGGCUAAUACCGGAUAGGAGCUCAUGCUGCAUGGUGGGGGUUGGAAAGUUUCGGCGGUUGGGGAUGGACUCGCGGCUUAUCAGCUUGUUGGUGGGGUAGUGGCUUACCAAGGCUUUGACGGGUAGCCGGCCUGAGAGGGUGACCGGCCACAUUGGGACUGCGAUACGGCCCAGACUCCUACGGGAGGCAGCAGUGGGGAAUAUUGCACAAUGGGCGGAAGCCUGAUGCAGUAACGCCGCGUGCGGGAUGACGGCCUUCGGGUUGUAAACCGCUUUCGCCUGUGACGAAGCGUGAGUGACGGUAAUGGGUAAAGAAGCACCGGCUAACUACGUG